GACGAACGCUGGCGGCGUGCUUAACACAUGCAAGUCGAACGGAAAGGCCCUGCUUUUGUGGGGUGCUCGAGUGGCGAACGGGUGAGUAACACGUGAGUAACCUGCCCUUGACUUUGGGAUAACUUCAGGAAACUGGGGCUAAUACCGGAUAGGAGCUCCUGCUGCAUGGUGGGGAUUGGAAAGUUUCGGCGGUUGGGGAUGGACUCGCGGCUUAUCAGCUUGUUGGUGGGGUAGUGGCUUACCAAGGCUUUGACGGGUAGCCGGCCUGAGAGGGUGACCGGCCACAUUGGGACUGAGAUACGGCCCAGACUCCUACGGGAGGCAGCAGUGGGGAAUAUUGCACAAUGGGCGGAAGCCUGAUGCAGCAACGCCGCGUGCGGGAUGACGGCCUUCGGGUUGUAAACCGCUUUCGCCUGUGACGAAGCGUGAGUGACGGUAAUGGGUAAAGAAGCACCGGCUAACUACGU
RNAcentral lists this ribosomal RNA (467 nucleotides) under uncultured bacterium. RNAcentral describes it as "partial 16S ribosomal RNA". It matches the Rfam family "Bacterial small subunit ribosomal RNA", at positions 28 to 506 of the family's 1533-position model. The record is from RNAcentral.